AACUUAUUCCCAAGUCUUCCUCACACUGCCUUCUCAGGUUUCAGAUGCUUAAUGAGAUACAUUUGUAUAUGAAAUGGCCUUUCAUAUAAGGACAUAUAGACCUCGAGUCCCUCCCAAGGCAAAAUGGGAGAAGAUUUCUGCCUUCAAAGAGCACGUCCCUGGGUUCCACAUUUCCCUUGGCAUUUCCUACCUUCUCUAAAUGCAUCUUAUUCAGUCCUUCUGUGCGCUGUUGUACAAUGCUUAUUCCUCAAUUUAAGGAAACAGUUAAAAUCUCUUUUUAAAAAAUGCAAUUCAGGGCACAGAUUCAUAAACAACGCAAUAGGUCUUGGAAGAACUUGUAAGGUAGAGAAAACAGAUGGAAAGACAAGAACCAGUUAAAGCUGAAGUAAACUGAUAAGGCAGAUUGCUGGGAAAUCAAGGUGGUUUUGGUCAGAAGGCAGAGGGUCCUGAGCAUGAAAAACCAACUAACACACAAACAAACAAAAAAUGAAAGUCAUUUUCACCAGGGACUAAAAAGGCAGCUUUAAGACAACAAAACUUUGAGUAGAAUGAGCUGGUCAUCAGCCUUAAGAGUCAGGACUGGACAAUUCAGGCUGACUUUCCACUAGUAUAUGUGUCUGGUACAGACUGUCUGCCUUCAGUUGACCCAUCUUUCUUCAGUUAUGCUGUAACAAGACUAUAUCUAGGUGAUACCCACACAGUGCUUGAGCUUACUGCUUACUGCUCAGAAUACAUUUGGCCUUAAUAGGCAACUGUAUGCAUCUAGUCUGAUCCACCCUACAUUGAAGGGGUGAUGGGGAUUCCAUGAGUAGCCAUUUAGUAUGUUGGACAGAAGAGAAAAUUAGACUGCCUUGGAGAGAACAGAGUGAGGAAUUGCCAAGCCUAAAGCAUAGCCUUUGAUGGAAGAAGUUCCUUUUACUUGACUUUAAGGUGACAGAGAAGAGGGAGUUUAUGGUUGAUCAGGCAUAGA
Molecule: long non-coding RNA, 970 nt
Filed under: Marmota monax (woodchuck)
Lineage: Eukaryota; Metazoa; Chordata; Mammalia; Rodentia; Sciuridae
Source: RNAcentral